CCUUCGAUAGCUCAGUUGGUAGAGCGGAGGACUGUAGUGGGUAACAGUACUGUCAUCCUUAGGUCGCUGGUUCGACUCCGGCUCGAAGGA
This 90-nucleotide transfer RNA is filed under the name Megalops atlanticus (tarpon). It matches the Rfam family "tRNA". Rfam says of the family: Transfer RNA (tRNA) molecules are approximately 80 nucleotides in length. Their secondary structure includes four short double-helical elements and three loops (D, anti-codon, and T loops). The record is from Rfam by way of RNAcentral. Lineage: Eukaryota; Metazoa; Chordata; Actinopteri; Elopiformes; Megalopidae.